Molecule: non-coding RNA, 107 nt
Organism: Paramuricea clavata
Lineage: Eukaryota; Metazoa; Cnidaria; Anthozoa; Malacalcyonacea; Plexauridae
Source: the annotation of a GenBank genome assembly
UGAAUUAUAGGAAUUUGCCUAGCUUGCUUUGACUCUCAAUCUGGUUUGUCAUUUUUAAAUGACAAACCAGAUUGAGAGUCAAAGCAAGCUAGGCGAAUUCCUAUAUA